GUGCACUAUAGAACAGGCAAAGAGUACAUUUCACGCGCACCUAAAUUAUUAAGCUUAAGGACGGAGCAUGCUGCAAAAGGCGAUAUUAUUAGCCCUAUUUGUAAUGUUAAGCCCGGGUCUUUGGCUGCCAGUACGCAUUUCCACCGUUGUCCACGUGCAUUCCUUGAGCAUAAGAGAGUUUGUAAACACCUGGGAACCCAUAUGGACCUACAAAACUACUGGGAUACCACAAAUACGCUGCCUGUAUCAUCUAAUGCGUUCCAUACACCCAAUGUUCAUUGAGUUCAACACAACGCACUUAUAUCGUCACCGAGUCGUUCGCGUCGCACAACGGGGACAGUUUAAUACGGCGUUGGCGGAACGGAUGACUAUCACCGAGCUGGGUGGGUUACAAAUGUCUGUUGAAUAUUUGUUGUACAAGGCUCCGGAUUCUUCGUGCGCCGUUGUAAAAGUGCGGUCUUCUUUCCAUCGUGACGAGCAUGGUCGUCUCAUCGAUGCAAGCCGUAAUAUGUACUCAGAGCGAGAAAGUUUGUGACACGCCUCUACCAACGAGCCAGACAAAGGGUCGUAUGCGUAUCCUGGAUCAAUACGAUCUCCGUGUGAGAAAUUCUUCUGUCACAGCUGGCCCUCACCGAAAGUGCGAAAGAUGGUUCUCUCAAGUCGCGCCUUUCGGCAGAAUCAUCUAUAAUAGAAAUUGUGAACGCUUACUUCACCCACGGGAGUGAUUACGUAUCAGCAUUCGUACAAUCCAUCAUUUGCCAGUUAACAUUCAUUUGAAUGUGGUGGAACUGUUAACUGGUGUCAUAUAAACGUAAAGUGUCAGGCUUGCAAUAAAAAAAAAUACACUUCCCUGUCCCUGGUGCCGUACAAAUAUCCCAUCACCAAUCCCAAUAAUACUCCAUCACCGAGCGGGAGAGUACGUCCAUCUUUGUAUGGACGCACGUUUUCGGUGGCUACAGA
Molecule: long non-coding RNA, 960 nt
Organism: Dermacentor albipictus
Lineage: Eukaryota; Metazoa; Arthropoda; Arachnida; Ixodida; Ixodidae
Source: RefSeq, a predicted model, not a curated record